AAAUGAAUUGACGGGGGCCCGCACAAGCAGUGGAGUAUGUGGUUUAAUUCGAAGCAACGCGAAGAACCUUACCAGGUCUUGACAUCGAGUGACGUACUAAGAGAUUAGUACACCCUUCGGGGCACAAAGACAGGUGGUGCAUGGUUGUCGUCAGCUCGUGUCGUGAGAUGUUGGGUUAAGUCCCGCAACGAGCGCAACCCUUGCCAUUAGUUGCUACGCAAGAGCACUUUAAUGGGACUGCCGUUGACAAAACGGAGGAAGGUGGGGACGACGUCAAAUCAUCAUGCCCCUUAUGACCUGGGCUACACACGUACUACAAUGGCAAUUAACAGAGGGAAGCUAAGCAGUGAUGUGGAGCGAAUCCCUAAAAAUUGUCUCAGUUCGGAUUGUAGGCUGCAACUCGCCUACAUGAAGUCGGAAUUGCUAGUAAUCGCAGAUCAGCAUGCUGCGGUGAAUACGUUCCCGGGCCUUGUACACACCGCCCGU
This 486-nucleotide ribosomal RNA is filed under the name uncultured bacterium. Its description in RNAcentral is "bacterial SSU rRNA". It matches the Rfam family "Bacterial small subunit ribosomal RNA", at positions 903 to 1397 of the family's 1533-position model. The record is from RNAcentral.